UUUACUGUUCUUCCACAGCUUUCUUGAACUGCAUAUGGUUCUUGAUCUGAUCUUACUCAUUUCGAAUUCAAUUUUUGUGGUUCAAUAAAGCUGUGGGAAGACAGAGAAA
This 109-nucleotide microRNA precursor is filed under the name Helianthus annuus (common sunflower). Its description in RNAcentral is "sRNA HanXRQr2_Chr05g0206291". It matches the Rfam family "MIR396 microRNA precursor family". Lineage: Eukaryota; Viridiplantae; Streptophyta; Magnoliopsida; Asterales; Asteraceae. The record is from Rfam by way of RNAcentral.